AACACGUAAUCACAACAGGGCGUCGAGGGGAUCGGGUGCAAGCCCGAGCCUUGCGAUGCUUCGCUGGCGUGCGUGCAUGGUGUCACUUUUGAGGCAUCGUGGACGUUGCGUCGGCACUAAAACAAACCCCCGGCACGGCAUGUGCCAAGGAAAACCAAACAUAGGUAGGUYGCGCCCUGUGUUGCCCCGUUUGCGGUGUGCACAUAGGCCGUGGUCUCUCAUUAACCAU
Molecule: unclassified non-coding RNA, 229 nt
Filed under: Saussurea salsa
Lineage: Eukaryota; Viridiplantae; Streptophyta; Magnoliopsida; Asterales; Asteraceae
Description: ITS1
Source: RNAcentral